UGCAAAUCGCAGGGUGUUUUGCCGCUGUACUUAAGUUGAUGAACAAAAUAUUUAUUAUGACGUAGACCCUCACGCAGACUUUCUCCAAGCCACCGCCCUUCCCUGGCCACGUGGGCAAGGGGCGGGGCGGUGGAAAAGAGGAACAGAAGCUGGCUGACGGUGCUGCCCCUCCUAGCAGCCUUCACUCUUGGCACAAACCUGCAACCAGACCAGGAUUCUGAAGAUGGAAAAAUCUGAUACAGCCCCUUGCUUCUGCAUCCUUUCAUCCCUCAAAACCUCCACUGACGUGUGGGGUGCUGAGAGACGGUCCUCCUGUGACUUCGCCCCCAGCUGCUGCCCCUUUGCAUUUCCUGUGCUGAUCCAAGUCACCCACUUUUUUUCUGCCUUCCACCUCCCAUUCCCUUGAUGGGAAUCCCUGGAUUCCUCUGCUGCUGCUAUACCUCAGAAUAUUAGAGAACCAAAUGAGGCUCUUGAACGAAGGGUGGUGGGGAGAAGGAAAGGGGACAAUGGGAUUUAAAACUUGUGGUGCCCCACUCUUCCUGCUGCAAGAGACCUUGGAAGGAUUCCUUGCCCCAAGAGACUGAGGCGCAUGGAAAGUAGGUGGGGUUGGGGGUGCUUGGCAGCUUUUAGGACUUCUAGAACAAGGCUUCUGGGCCACCUUCCUAGCAGGUGUAUGCCGCUUUGUUCCAAAUUAACUUCCUGGCUCACAAUAUCCUCACUAUUUCCAGAGUAGUGGCCAAGACAUCUUUUGUUUUAUUUUAUUUUUUUUCCAAGACAACUUUUAAAGCUGAGGCCGGAAGGGUGUGUGUGCCGAGGGGAGGAGGGCUAAGUGUCACUUUGGAAAACUGGGGCCCCCACCUAAGGACUGCUGCCUCUGUACAGACUCAAAAUCAAUAAACAGCAGCUCGUUAACCCUUA
Long non-coding RNA from Suricata suricatta (meerkat), 918 nucleotides. RefSeq lists it as uncharacterized. The record is from RefSeq and is a predicted model, not a curated record. The transcript is spliced from 2 exons. Lineage: Eukaryota; Metazoa; Chordata; Mammalia; Carnivora; Herpestidae.